RNAcentral lists this microRNA precursor (192 nucleotides) under Oryza brachyantha (malo sina). Its description in RNAcentral is "MIR812 microRNA precursor family". It matches the Rfam family "MIR812 microRNA precursor family". Lineage: Eukaryota; Viridiplantae; Streptophyta; Magnoliopsida; Poales; Poaceae. The record is from Rfam by way of RNAcentral.
AAUAGAACCAUUCUUCAGUUUUUUGAUACAAUGUUUUGACUAUUCAUCUUAUUUGAAAUUUUUUUGCGAUUAAUAUUUUUAUUCUUACUAAAUGAUAAAAUAUGAAUAGUACUUUAUACGUGGCUAUUUUUUUAAGUUUUUGUGCAAAUCUUCCAAAUAAGACGAAUGAUCAAACGUUGGACAUGGAAAAAC